AGCGCUUAAUCAAUUUGAACGGGAAAACCAAUUUUGGGGUGAAUCCUGCUUAGGCAGGUAGGGUUAAUUUCUUCGAUCCGAAUCCGUCAGCUAAUCUCGCAAGCGUUGAAGGGAAG
This 116-nucleotide small RNA is filed under the name uncultured Clostridium sp. Its description in RNAcentral is "ydaO/yuaA leader". It matches the Rfam family "c-di-AMP riboswitch aptamer (ydaO/yuaA leader)", at positions 11 to 130 of the family's 134-position model. From Rfam's summary of the family: This family represents a conserved RNA structure found upstream of the ydaO and yuaA genes in Bacillus subtilis and related genes in other bacteria. Lineage: Bacteria; Bacillati; Bacillota; Clostridia; Eubacteriales; Clostridiaceae. The record is from RNAcentral.